RNAcentral lists this ribosomal RNA (48 nucleotides) under Transversotrema cardinale. RNAcentral's name for it is "Transversotrema cardinalis partial 28S ribosomal RNA". Lineage: Eukaryota; Metazoa; Platyhelminthes; Trematoda; Azygiida; Transversotrematidae. The record is from RNAcentral.
GACCUCGGAUCCAGACGUGAAUACCCCCUGAAUUAAGCAUAUCACUAA